This 440-nucleotide ribosomal RNA is filed under the name uncultured bacterium. Its description in RNAcentral is "partial 16S ribosomal RNA". It matches the Rfam family "Bacterial small subunit ribosomal RNA", at positions 338 to 795 of the family's 1533-position model. The record is from RNAcentral.
CCUACGGGGGGCAGCAGUGGGGAAUAUUGCACAAUGGGGGAAACCCUGAUGCAGCGACGCCGCGUGAGUGAGGAAGUAUUUCGGUAUGUAAAGCUCUAUCAGCAGGGAAGAAAAUGACGGUACCUGACGAAGAAGCCCCGGCGAACGACGUGCCAGCAGCCGCGGUAAUACGUAGGGGGCAAGCGUUCUCCGGAUUUACUGGGUGGAAAGGGAGCGUAGACGGCUAAGCAAGUCAGAAGUGAAAACCCAGGGCUCAACCUUGGGAGUGCUUUUGAAACUGAGUAGCUAGAGUGCAGGAGAGGUAAGCGGACUUCCUCGUGUAGCGGUGAACUGCGUCGAUAUUAGGAGGAACCCCAGUGGCGAAGGCGGCUUACUGGACUGUACCUGACGUUGCGGCUCGAACGCGUGGGGAGCAAACAGGAUUCGAUACCCUUGUAGUC